RNAcentral lists this ribosomal RNA (492 nucleotides) under uncultured bacterium. RNAcentral's name for it is "partial 16S ribosomal RNA". It matches the Rfam family "Bacterial small subunit ribosomal RNA", at positions 29 to 507 of the family's 1533-position model. The record is from RNAcentral.
AUUGAACGCUGGCGGCAUGCUUUACACAUGCAAGUCGAACGGUAACAGGCCUUCGGGUGCUGACGAGUGGCGAACGGGUGAGUAAUGCAUCGGAACGUACCCAGAGGUGGGGGAUAACGCAGCGAAGGCUGUGCUAAUACCGCAUGUGAUCUGAGGAUGAAAGCGGGGGACCGAGCAGCAAUGUUUGGCCUCGCGCCUUUGGAGCGGCCGAUGUCGGAUUAGCUAGUUGGUGGGGUAAAGGCCUACCAAGGCGACGAUCCGUAGCUGGUCUGAGAGGACGAACAGCCACACUGGGACUGAGACACGGCCCAGACUCCUACGGGAGGCAGCAGUGGGGAAUUUUGGACAAUGGGCGCAAGCCUGAUCCAGCAAUGCCGCGUGCGGGAAGAAGGCCUUCGGGUUGUAAACCGCUUUUGGCAGGAACGAAACGGUGUCCGCUAAUACCGGGCGAUAAUGACGGUACCUGCAGAAUAAGCACCGGCUAACUACGUG